UGGUCGCAUCACGCACAUGUAGCGCUUCUGUGAUUAAGUCUAUAACAGGAAUAAAAUAAUAGGACCACACAAAAUUUAUAACAGGCUAUAAUAUAAUUAACAAAAGGAAGAAAACUGUGCGACAAGUAUACGCUCGUUUUUGUGACACCCUUAAUGCUUUUUGUUUCCUUUUCUUUGUAUCUUUAUUUGAUUUAAUCCAUCUGAUCGCACAGGCGCCACACACACACACACACACACAAACAACAUUAGUUCUUGCAUUAGGCUAUCUGACAUUUCAGCCAUUCAUCAUCAAACUAAAAUGCAGUCAACCAAACAUAAGUUACACUGUUUAUUUUAAAAGGCUGUAAAAUCAGCGUGCAGCGUCCAACAAACAUUUUUGUGCAUGUAAAGUAUUUUUCACGAAUAUUAGACCAUGAGUGAAGUAUAACGCCUUGUUAAGGCGAACUAACGAAUAAUAGUUUAGCAAACAAAUGGAAACGUUUGGAUUCUUGUGGAAUGAGACAGGCUCAUGAGCUCAGUGCCGUUUCAGUUUUGCUUGAAUGCUGUAUAAUGAAUGCCACUAUAGCCUAUUUUGUGUUUUAUUUUAAUAUGUAAUUUUAUAAAUAGCCCAGCUAACACACGACGUAACUGUUACGUAACCUAUUGGUAUUUUUUGGUAAUUUCAUGAUUUACCAAUAGGCAACGUAACCACGACGUCGUAUGCACGUAAUUUCAUUACCAUCCCAUUACCAACUCACAACGUCGUCAGUACGUCCUCCUAACGUAACAGGAUAACCAAGAACGUCCCAGACAGGUACUCUAAUCGUAAUAUAUUGGUAACUUCAUGACUUACUGGCAACGUAACUGCAACGUCGUAUGCACGUAAUUUCAUUAUCAUAUUUUUUGUACGUUCUUUGUGCUCUCUGAUUACCAUAAUGCUAUUUAAAAAGUGUAAUUAAACAGACACAAGAUUGAACGUUCCUUGAAGAUAAAAUGUGUUUCUUUUCACUAAGAAUAUGGACGAUUGCUUUUAAUAUGCCUUUAUAUAGCCCCCCUAUUAAUAAAUUCACAUCAAUCACACCCAUACAGCACUGUUAAAUAUGUUGACAUAUUUUGAAAAUAUAUUUUAAAAAUACAUAAAACAAAGUUUAAAAAAUUGUUCCUCAUGAUACAUGUGUAAAUGUGAGCACGAAAAAAUACAUUCCUAUGCCUUAGUUUUUAAUGAAUGUUUUUUCAAUGUUGUUUCUACACCACGUUUUACCAUUUCUAAAGCUAUAUUAUUAUAUUAUAUUAUUUACGUAAAAUUCUGCGUGACUUCUACGUGCUUUAAUGGGCGAGCGCGCGCUGAACUGGAGCGGAGGAAGUCACCAUGGAAACGGGGCGGCAGCUCAACUGUCAAGCAGCAACUUCGUCUCUCACUGUUGUUUUUACUAAUUUCAGAAGCGUCAGAAAAAACCCUCUAUGACACAGGAGAAGUUCCUGAUUUUAACAUUUCUGAAGGGAGCUGCUGACAGAGAAAUAGAAAACACAGAUUCUUCCAUGCUGACGGCCGUGCACAGGAGUUGGAGCGUAUCUCCUGUCGAAGAACAUCUCUAGACAUUAUGAACCAUCUGUCUAAGACUGAAAAUCAUCAAUAAACCAAAAGUUUGGUUUAGCUCCAACCCCAAUUAAGCAGACCUGAGCAGCUGAUCAAGGAUCACCAGAAACCAUGCCCAGGACUGGACACCAGUGUUCUAAAUAAAACCAAAGGCCAUUCAGCCACAGGUCACUGCAUCUUUUGCUGUAUGCUGGUGAAAAAACCGCCAGGCUAAAGCAUUCAAAGUGGAAACUUCUGUCGUGGCUCAGUAAUCCAGGAUUGGGAUGGUGGAAGAACCAGAAGAUCAGAGAUCAGGCAGAGAUCUACCGGUGCGCCUGAGGGAACAGAUUUACCUAAUGUCUUAGUUAAACCAAAGAUUCUCAUCACUCGCCUCCAUGUCGUUCCAAACCUAUAAGACUUUUGUUCAUCUUUGAAACAUAAAUGUAUAUCAUUUUAAUGAAAUCUGAGAAAUUUCUGCCCCUCCAUUUCACAGUUUAUGCAACUACCACUUUCAAGCCUCAGAAAGGUAAUAAAUACAUCAUUAACGUAAACCAUGUGACUCCAGUUGUUUAACCUCAAUUUAUGAAGUGAUGUGAAUGUUUUGUGUGCACAAAAAACGUUGCAUUUUUAUUUACAAAAUAACAUGUUCACGAGAGCACCAUCAUGCAUCACUGUUGCGUUGGUGUGAGAGCUGGCCAUCUCAUGGUGCUUUUGUGAAAAUACAUAAUUUGUAAAUAAAGACAUACUAUUUUUGUUAUUGCUGUUUUUUGCGUACACAUGGCAUCUGUUAAAAAUAUCUUAAUUUGUGUUCUGCACAAAAGGGUCUUAUGGGUUUGGAGCGACAUGAGGGUAAGUAAUGACAGAAUUUACAUUUUUGGGUGAAAUAUAUUGGUCAUUGUUAUGUUUUAUAAACAUUUUCAAUAUUUUAAAGAUUUAUUGUUUUGAAAAAUGAUGUUUAUACAGUCUGCUUUAAGUACUUUUGUUGGUAACGCUUUAAGGUGUCAUUUGUUAACAUUAAUGUAUUAACUAACAUGAUCAAACAAUGAACAAUGCAUUUAUUACACUAUUUAUUAAUCUUUGUUAAUGUUAAUGAAAAUACAGUUGUUCAUUGUUUAUUCAUGUUAGUUCACAGUGCAUUAAUGUUAACAAACACAACGCAUUAGUAAAUGCUGAAAUUAACAUUAAUUAAUAAAUGCUGUAGAAGUAAUGUUCAUUCUUAGUUCAUGUUUACUAAUGUUGUUAACUAAUGUUAACUAAUGAACCUUGUUGUAAAGUGUUACCCUUUUGUUAAUAUCAACACCUCUGUGAUUAUGGUAUCUUUCCUUAAUUAUCAGAAAUGUCUGCUAGCAAAUAUUAUGCUAGCAUAUCUGUUUAUAAUGAUGCUGAGCACGGAACGUCCUGAAUGCUUUCAUUCAUAUUUCGCUGUAUAUCCUAUGUUUUUAUUAAUAAUUUGGGUGUAUUUUAUUGUUCAUAUU
Molecule: long non-coding RNA, 3030 nt
Organism: Onychostoma macrolepis
Lineage: Eukaryota; Metazoa; Chordata; Actinopteri; Cypriniformes; Cyprinidae
Exons: 7
Source: RefSeq, a predicted model, not a curated record